GUUAAUGUAGCUUAAUUAAUAAAGCAAGGCACUGAAAAUGCCAAGAUGAAUCGUAUGAUUCCAUAAACA
Molecule: transfer RNA, 69 nt
Filed under: Chrysocyon brachyurus (maned wolf)
Lineage: Eukaryota; Metazoa; Chordata; Mammalia; Carnivora; Canidae
Description: tRNA-Phe
Rfam family: tRNA
About the family: Transfer RNA (tRNA) molecules are approximately 80 nucleotides in length. Their secondary structure includes four short double-helical elements and three loops (D, anti-codon, and T loops). Further hydrogen bonds mediate the characteristic L-shaped molecular structure. tRNAs have two regions of fundamental functional importance: the anti-codon, which is responsible for specific mRNA codon recognition, and the 3' end, to which the tRNAs corresponding amino acid is attached (by aminoacyl-tRNA synthetases). tRNAs cope with the degeneracy of the genetic code in two manners: having more than one tRNA (with a specific anti-codon) for a particular amino acid; and 'wobble' base-pairing, i.e. permitting non-standard base-pairing at the 3rd anti-codon position.
Source: RNAcentral